This 301-nucleotide ribosomal RNA is filed under the name uncultured bacterium. RNAcentral describes it as "partial 16S ribosomal RNA". It matches the Rfam family "Bacterial small subunit ribosomal RNA", at positions 509 to 807 of the family's 1533-position model. The record is from RNAcentral.
CAGCCGCCGCGGUAACACCGAGGAUGCAAGCGUUAUCUGGAAUGAUUGGGCGUAAAGCGUCUGUAGGUGGCUUUUCAAGUCCGCCGUCAAAUCCCAGUGCUCAACCCUGGACAGGCGGUGGAAACUACCAAGCUGGAGUGCGGUAGGGGCAGAGGGAAUUUCCGGUGGAGCGGCGAAAUGCGUUGAGAUCGGAAAGAACACCAACGGCGAAAGCACUCUGCUGGGCCGACACUGACACUGAGAGACGAAAGCUAGGGGAGCAAAUGGGAUUAGAUACCCCAGUAGUCCCUGUCUCUUAUAC